Molecule: ribosomal RNA, 205 nt
Filed under: Eucampia antarctica
Lineage: Eukaryota; Bacillariophyta; Thalassiosirophyceae; Eucampiales; Eucampiaceae
Description: partial Bacterial large subunit ribosomal RNA
Rfam family: Bacterial large subunit ribosomal RNA
Source: RNAcentral
GUGAGGGAAAGGUGAAAAGAACCCUGAAUAAGGGAGUGAAAUAGAACCUGAAACCAUACGCUUACAAGCGGUCGGAGCAGACUUGAUCUGUGACGGCGUGCCUUUUGCAUAAUGAGCCUACGAGUUACCGUUGCUAGCAAGGUUAAGGACUUCAGGUCCGGAUCCGUAGCGAAAGCGAGUCUGAAUAUGGCGUUUGAGUGGCAGG